AGAAUCAUUCGGCACAGAACCUAAGCAAGAAGGACUUACAGCUCUCUGGUGUUUCAAAUCAUUUCAAGAGUCAUCAGGAUAGAAGACUGGCAACAAAUGUGGCUGUCUUUACGGGAGCACCAUCUGAACGCAGAAGUGCAGAAUUGCCUAGUUCUUCCUAGACUGGAAGCCACACAGGCAGUGAAGAUUUAGGGUUAUCCUUGCUGUGAUGAAACACCAUGACCAGAGAAACUUGGAGAAGAAAGGAUUUAUUCAGCUUGGGUCCACAUCACUGUUCAUCACUGAAAGAAGUCAGGACAAGAACUCAAAAAGAGCAGGAAGCUGGAGAUGUGUCUGCUACAAAGCUGUGACUCCUACGAAGGGCUGGAACUGACCCAUCUCUGUAUCCUCAGAGUACAGGAGAAGCUGAGACUCUUUAUACCAGAUGGUGCAAGACACAGCAUCUUCAAUUGUGGGCAAUACAAAUUAAGCACGUGUUGGCCAAUGAAAGCCUGAUAAGGGGUUUAAAAUCCGUCUUACAUGAAAACAGAUCCAGAAGUGUUUUUCUUGAAGUGAACACUUCUGAGAAUGCACUUGCUGAUUUUGCAGACUGUUUCUGGGCAUCUUCUCUGUGCAAGGCCUGGGCUGGGGAAAAGGAAGCCAUAGGUACAGGCCUACCAUCCCGGCAGCAGAGCUCAUGGUCUGGAUGGUGUUGGACACACAAAUAAGGAUCUAUGACUCAGUGCACUCAGGUCCCCCAGGAGGCAUGAGGGUGUGCCCAGGGAAGGCUCCGAGAAGACGUUGCAGAAGAGCACAGUUGUGACAAUGUUGAAAACAAGUAUCUUUUUUAAAAGACUUAUUGUUUUUUUAGUGUAUGUAUUGGCUGGAUAUGGUGGCUUACAACUUUAAUCCCAGCAAUCAGGUGACAGAGGCAGGCCAAUUUUGUGGGUAAGAGUCCAGCCUGGUCUACAUAGCAAGCUCCAAUGCAUCCAAGGCUACAUAAUGUGACUCUGUCUCAAAACAACAACAGUAAUAAUAAAAAUGUAUGAAUA
RNAcentral lists this long non-coding RNA (1031 nucleotides) under Mus musculus (house mouse). RNAcentral's name for it is "predicted gene, 34821". The record is from RNAcentral. Lineage: Eukaryota; Metazoa; Chordata; Mammalia; Rodentia; Muridae.